AGUCAUUCUGCCCAUUGUAUUUUAAAGGCUGCGGUAGCCUGACCGUACAAAGGUAGCAUAAUCAAUAGUUUUUUAAAUGGAAACUUGGAUGAAUGAAUUCAUGAAAUAAUAAUUGUUUCAUAAAUUGAAUUUAAAAUUUAAGUAAAAAUGCUUAAAUUUAUUUAUUAGACGAUAAGACCCUAAGAAUUUUAUAAAUUUUAUUAUUAUUAAAUUUCAUUUUAAAUAAUUAUAUUUUAUUGGGAGGAUAAUUAAAUAAAACUUUAAUUUUAAAAAACAUAGAUUAAUGAAUUUUUGAUUAUUAUUAUAAUUAAAAGAUAAAAUUACCUUAGGGAUAACAGCGUAAUAUUUUUGGAGAGACCUUAUUAAUAAAAAUGUUUGCGACCUCGAUGUUGAAUUAUGAUAUAAUUUAAAUGCAGGAGUUUAAAUAGUUAGUCUGUUCGACUAUUAAAAUCAUAC
Molecule: ribosomal RNA, 456 nt
Filed under: Pachymenes orellanae
Lineage: Eukaryota; Metazoa; Arthropoda; Insecta; Hymenoptera; Vespidae
Description: partial large subunit ribosomal RNA
Rfam family: Bacterial large subunit ribosomal RNA (bases 331-456)
Source: RNAcentral